This 785-nucleotide ribosomal RNA is filed under the name uncultured Neocallimastigales. RNAcentral describes it as "partial large subunit ribosomal RNA". It matches the Rfam family "Eukaryotic large subunit ribosomal RNA", at positions 23 to 637 of the family's 3401-position model. Lineage: Eukaryota; Fungi; Neocallimastigomycota; Neocallimastigomycetes; Neocallimastigales. The record is from RNAcentral.
GAGACUCUGUGCGCGUGCAUAUCAAUAAGCGGAGGAAAAGAAACUAACAAGGAUUCCCCUAGUAACGGCGAGUGAAGCGGGAAGAGCUCAAAUUUGAAAUCUUAAAGGGUUUCCCUUUACGAAUUGUAGUUUAAAGAAGUGUUUUCUGUUGGAGUUUCGGUAAAAGUUCUUUGGAAUAGGGACAUCAUAGAGGGUGAGAAUCCCGUAUUUGACCGUUACUUUCCAGCUGUGUGAUACACUUUCAAAGAGUUGGAUUGUUUGGGAAUGCAGUCCAAGAUGGGUGGUAAAUUUCAUCUAAAGCUAAAUAUUGGCGAGAGACCGAUAGCGAACAAGUACCGUGAGGGAAAGAUGAAAAGAACUUUGAAAAGAGAGUUAAACAGUACGUGAAAUUGUCAAAAGGGAAGCGUUUGACACCAGUGUUGUUUAGUUCGAAAAUCAAUUACGAAUAGUUUUUGAUUUUAAGUAGUUAUGACUUCAUCAGCUUGCUGCCUUUCUUCUCAUGAAACUUUCUUGAAUGCACUUUUCAGUUAACAAGUCAACAUCAAUUUCUUUUGUUGUAAAAGGGUAAGAGGAAGGUGGCUUGCGCUUCGGCUCAAGUGUUUAUAGCCUUUUAUCUCUGCAAUCGGAGAGAUUGAGGUCUGCAGCGUAGAUCCUUCGGGGUUAGAUACAUUUGGUGCUAAGUUAUAGCUUGUCAUAGACAACUUGUUGACUAUGUUAGUCAUUGUAGCUUACUCGCUGACUGCUAUUUUACCUACGCUUAGGAUGUUGACAGCAGUAUAGACUGU